Molecule: ribosomal RNA, 450 nt
Filed under: uncultured bacterium
Lineage: Bacteria
Description: partial 16S ribosomal RNA
Rfam family: Bacterial small subunit ribosomal RNA
Source: RNAcentral
GUGGGGAAUAUUGGACAAUGGGCGAAAGCCUGAUCCAGCCAUGCCGCGUGUGUGAAGAAGGUCUUCGGAUUGUAAAGCACUUUAAGUUGGGAGGAAGGGCAGUAAGUUAAUACCUUGCUGUUUUGACGUUACCGACAGAAUAAGCACCGGCUAACUUCGUGCCAGCAGCCGCGGUAAUACGAAGGGUGCAAGCGUUAAUCGGAAUUACUGGGCGUAAAGCGCGCGUAGGUGGUUUUGUAAGUUGGAGGUGAAAUCCCCGGGCUCAACCUGGGAACUGCCUCCAAAACUGCAUGACUAGAGUACGGUAGAGGGUAGUGGAAGUUCCUGUGUAGCGGUGAAAUGCGUAGAUAUAGGAAGGAACACCAGUGGCGAAGGCGACUACCUGGACUGAUACUGACACUGAGGUGCGAAAGCGUGGGGAGCAAACAGGAUUAGAAACCCCAGUAGUCC